GCCAGUGUGGCGUAGUGGUUUGAGCAUUGGACUAGGACUCUAGAGACCGAGGUUCGGAUUCCAGCUUAGCCA
Molecule: non-coding RNA, 72 nt
Organism: Phrynosoma platyrhinos (Desert horned lizard)
Lineage: Eukaryota; Metazoa; Chordata; Lepidosauria; Squamata; Phrynosomatidae
Source: the annotation of a GenBank genome assembly